CUACCUGCCCACUGAUUUAUUAAAGGGCCGCGGUAUAUUGACUGUGCAAAGGUAGCAUAAUCAUUUGUCUUUUAAUUGAAGGCUGGAAUGAAUGGUUGAAUGAAGUAUUAACUGUCUCAUUUUAAUAAAAAUAAAAAUUUAAUUUUUUAGUCAAAAAGCUGAAAUAAAUUUAGAGGACGAGAAGACCCUAUAGAUCUUUAUAAUUAAAUUUAUUAAAUAAUUUUAGAUAAAUAAAAACAUUAAUAAAUUUAAUUAUUUUGUUGGGGUGACAGGAAAAUUUAAUAAACUAUUUUUAUAUAAAACCAAUAAUUUUUGAAUAAUUGAUCCAAUUUUAUUGAUUAAAAGUUUAAGUUACCUUAGGGAUAACAGCGUAAUUUUUUUAGAGAGUUCUUAUCGAUAAAAAAGAUUGCGACCUCGAUGUUGAAUUAAAGAU
This 433-nucleotide ribosomal RNA is filed under the name Stenolysmus extraneus. Its description in RNAcentral is "partial large subunit ribosomal RNA". It matches the Rfam family "Archaeal large subunit ribosomal RNA", at positions 1946 to 2614 of the family's 2987-position model. The record is from RNAcentral. Lineage: Eukaryota; Metazoa; Arthropoda; Insecta; Neuroptera; Osmylidae.